UCCACAAGACUGGACCUCAGCAGUCUCACUCUGAGGACAGAAGCAGAGAUGCUUCCUGGAGAGCAGGAAAGGUUUUUCCAUGAGAAAAGCUUGAAAACACUGGUUCUGCUAUCUUCGAAGGAAUCAACAGCAAAUCCAUUUGGCACCACAGGGAAGGCCAUGUUAGCAAAAGGUGAGAAAAUCCUCCUCCUACCAUACUCUUAAUCUCUGCCUGAGACCAGAUGGUUAGUGUGCCUUCCAUUACUCCAGAUGUUCUUGAGGAAGAAUCCUGAGCACAGCCCCAAACAACUGGAAACUGGUUCCUGUAUCAGCAGGGGCUAAGUUUCCUGACCAGCGAGAGUCAAGAGCCACAACCAGCUUUCAUCAGUGGGUGUCAAGAUCACCCCCUUCCAGUAGAAAACGUACCAUUGCCUCUUUCAGAUACAUCAUUCAUUAACUACAAAAAUCUGAACAUCUGGGAAAGACAGAACACCAAGUCCUGAAGAAAAGGAAAGAAGCAACUUUAAGCUUCGGGAUUGGAGAGGCCUAAUGUAAAUUCAUUAAAUGGACUCUGCCGUG
Molecule: non-coding RNA, 558 nt
Organism: Peromyscus maniculatus bairdii (prairie deer mouse)
Lineage: Eukaryota; Metazoa; Chordata; Mammalia; Rodentia; Cricetidae
Source: RefSeq, a predicted model, not a curated record